AUGCUACCAGAGCCUCCCCAGGAAUUAAGCCGUGGAGCCGCCAGGAAGAGGCGCUCAGGGAGGCGACGCAGCCGCAUCCACUUUUCUCAGCCGCCAUUUCCCCGGCCCCUCCACCCACUUGUCCCUGAUUGGGUGGGCCGCUGCACGCUCGCGCUGGCAUUGGCCAGGACUCGGGGUAGGCGGAGACAGAUUUACCUCGGCCGGAGCCGCGGGAAGGUCUUUCUGCGCUCCGCUCGCGGCGCGCGGAGGCUGUGGAGCGCGGCGGUGGACGGUUCCCUGUCAAACAUUUGAUUGAACAGGAGAUCUGUAGUACAAAUUUCAAACUAUUUGAUAAAAAAGUGAAAGAAUUGAAUGAACGCAUUGGGAAGACACAGUGCAGGAGAAAACAUGAAGCAAUAGCUGGUGAACUCUUUGUAAGUGUCUAAUUUCACUUGAUUUCAUUUGAGUCCUUUUAAAAAGUGGAAUUUGAUGUUAUUUUAUGUAUUUUGAAAGGCAAACAAUAAAGCAAGACCCAAAUUUGAUUCUUCACCACAGGUGUAAUUUAAGACAUAUAGUCGGUAAUGUAGAGUUUAUUAUAAGCUAGUAAUAUUAGCCCUUGAGAAACACACUCAGAACUAUCACACAUUUUGUGUCAAUUGAAAUGUUUAAUAUAUAAAUAGUCUUUUCAUUCUAACAAUAUCCUUUUUAGGGCUUGUAUAACAUAUUUGAAGCUCUUGUAGAUUUUUUUUACUGUUGUUGGGUUACUUGCUGAUGACUUUCAUGGUUUUAUCUGUUCUUGAAUAUCAUACAAGUAUAAAAUCUGCUUUAAAUCUUUUGCUUGUACAGUCAUCCCCUUCAUAUCCUUGGUUUCUGCAUCUUUAUGUUCAACUAAAUUUGCUUUGAAAAUACUCAGAAAAAAAAAUAUGUCGAACAUAUAUAGCCUUUUUUUCUUGUCAUUAUUCUGUAAUUAUGAUCUAACAACUAUGUACACAGCAUUUAUUCUGCAUUAGGUAUAAGUAACCUAAAGAUGACUUAAAUUGCACAGGAGGCUAUGUACAGGAUAUACACAAUGUUAUGGCAUUAUAUAUAAGGACUUCAGCAGCAUCCAUAAAUUUUGGUAUCUGAAAGAUUUGGAACAAUCCCCUGUGGAUACCAAGGGAUGGAUGUGCAAGAAUUUUUAGUUUGUUUAUUUUUUGGGUCCCGGGAAUUGAGCCCAAGACUUCACGUUUGCCAGGCAGGCCCUGAGCUGCUGAGCUAUAUCCCCGGCCCUGAAUUUUUAGUUGAUGUUGAGUGUUGUGGUGUACACUUGUAAUCCCAGCACUGUGGGAGGCAGUAACAGGAGGCUUGCAAGUUCAAGCACAGCUUGGGCAACUUGAUUGGUGAUUUCACAAAACAGUCUCAAAAGUAAAGGACUGGGAAUGUAGCUUAGCACAGAGGCCCUGGGUUGAAUUACAGGUACCACACACACACACACACAAAGAGACCAAAAGAUAAAGAAAUUCUCACUUAUUGGCGUAGAUGCUUAAAUCUAACAAGACAAUUCUGGCAAAUAAGUUUUCCUCUACCUCUCCAUGUUAUUUAAUACUCUGGUUUGAUGUUUACUUAUUUUUCUGUCUUCCAGACAAGAAUAGCAAGACUUCAAAGACGUGUUAAAGCAAUCUUAGCAUUUCAAAGGAAAUAUUUGGAAUCAAAUACAUUUUCCAGUAAUACCCCCUUUAAGGUUGGUAUAAACACAGGAGUUUGAAUAAUCUGGUUGACUCAUAGUAGAAACAGUUGGAUUAUAGAAAUAAAUGUUUUUCCAAACUAGGAUAGACAUCUUUAAAGGACAAUACAUUUCGAAUGUUUUCAUGAAUCUGUUUCUAGAGAAGAUACUCUUAGGCAUUUUAAAGUCACUGGCUUGUGUCUCUUUAACAAAAGAAGUAGAAAGGGACUUGGUGAUUGCCUAGAUUGUUCACUCAGCGCUUUUAACGUGAAAAGCAAAGUUGAGUUUUAUAGAGUAGAUUUCUAUUCUCAGCACCUAGAUUUUAUCAUAGUUACUUUUUCAUGUUCAUCCCUGCUAUGCCAUCUUGUAUUUGGUCUAAAUCUGCAAUAUAUUUUUGGGGUUUUGUUUCUAUCUAUGCAUGUGCACUUGUUUGUUUGUGCUAGUGGGGAUUAAACCCAGAGACUUCACAUUUAGCUGUAUUCCCAGCCCUUAUAAUUUUGAAACAGGAUCUUACUAAGUUCCGAAGUUGGGUUCAGCUUUCACUCUUCAUGCCUCAACUGCCAGAGUGUUGGGAUUUACAAACACACCACAGCCUACCACAUAUACACACACACACACACACACACACACACACACACACAUACAUACUUUUUUGGGGGCGGAGGGCAGACAGGGUCUUGUUAUGUAGUUGAGGCUGGCUGCGAGCUCACUUUGUCGCCCAGGCUGGUCUCAAACUACUGAUCAUCCUCCUGCCUCAGCCUCCCGAGUGCUGGGAUUACAGGGGUGUGACACCAUGCCCAGUCCUGUUUAUAUUUUAUAUACAAAAUUUAUAUAAUCUUCCAUUCAUGUUCACUUUAUUUUUUUCUUGCAGUGUGUUUGUUAGUCUUUGGUAUCAGAUUUAUGUCUUCUCUGUUUGUAUAAAAUUUUUGUUCCUUAAAUGUUUAGUAGAAUCAAUCUGAAAACUGGGUUUCAGCUCCAGAAAACUGGAGCUUUAUUUUGUAAAGAGAUUUUUACUUAAAAAUUUAUUUUUUAAAUUAGUUUUUUGAGACAGGAUCUCACUAUGUGGCUGGCCAUGAACUCAUGAUCCUCCUGCCAUAAUCUCCUGAGUGCUGAGAUUACAGACAUGGCAUUUCCUUCCUUCCUUCCUUCCUUCCUUUAUUUAUUUAUUUAUUCAUUUAUAAGACAGGUUCUCACUAUGUAGUCCAAGACAGCUUUGAACUCACCAGGUGGCUCCAGCUGGACACAAAUUCAUAAUCAUCUUGCCUCAGCCUCCUGAGUGCUGAGAUUAUAGGCGUGUACCACCAUGCCCUGCUUCUGCACUAUUAUUUAAAAGUGCUUGUGUUUAUCUUCCAAGUAUCUGGGACUUUCUUAGUAUCUUAUUUUUUAUUGAUAUCUAAUAUAAUCCCACUUUGAUAAGAGGACAUUAUAUGUAAAAUUUAACUUUUAAGAGUUAUUGACACUUACUUUAAAUACCUGUAUAUGAUUUUGAUUGGUAUGUGUUCUGUGUACAGAAUAUUGAGUGUAAUAUCCUACAAAUGGUAAUUUUAUGUUCGUUGUCCAAAGGUGAUUGAUAAUAUUGUUCAGAUUUGCUGUGGCUGUUGUAGAAUGAAUAGUAGUCCCAAAAGAUGUCCAUGACCUAAUCCCCAGAACCUGUGAAUAUGUUACCUUACAGGGUGAAAUUGUAGAUCUGAUUAAAUUAAGUAUUUUGAGAUGAGGUGCUUAUCCUGUAUUAUCUGGGUUUGUUCAAUAUAAUCAGAAAGCUCCACACAAAAAGACAUAAGAGCCCAGGGAAAUGGUGCACACCUGUAAUCCCAGCACUUGGGAGGCUGAGGCAGGAGAAUCGCCAGGACUUCAAGGCCAGCCUGGGCUACAUAGUGAGUUCAAGGCCAGUCUGGACUACAGAGCAAGAUCCUGUCUGAAAAACAAAAACAAACAAAAUGUAUAAGAAGGUCAAAGACAGAAGAGCUGGGAAAAUGGAAGCAGAGGUUGGAAUGAUGGGAACUGAAGGCACAGGAAGAGGCCUCAAGCCCAAGGAUGCAAGGAUCUUCCAAAACAGACUUGCAAAAGAAGUGCUCUUUUGGCUUAGUGAAGCUGAUUUCAAACUUCUGACCUCUGGAAUUAUGAUAGAAUGAAUUUCCAGGGUGUCCAUGUAUGUUUGUUUUGUUGUAUCAGAAACUGAAUCCAGGGCCUUCACACUGAGCUACAUUUAUAGGCCUUUUUUAUUUUUUUU
This 3911-nucleotide long non-coding RNA is filed under the name Chinchilla lanigera (long-tailed chinchilla). RNAcentral describes it as "lncRNA (ENSCLAG00000023738.1)". The record is from RNAcentral. Lineage: Eukaryota; Metazoa; Chordata; Mammalia; Rodentia; Chinchillidae.